RNAcentral lists this ribosomal RNA (790 nucleotides) under bacterium enrichment culture clone 1.29. RNAcentral's name for it is "bacterial SSU rRNA". It matches the Rfam family "Bacterial small subunit ribosomal RNA", at positions 11 to 797 of the family's 1533-position model. The record is from RNAcentral.
GUUUGAUCCUGGCUCAGAUUGAACGCUGGCGGAAUGCUUUACACAUGCAAGUCGAACGGCAGCACGGACUUCGGUCUGGUGGCGAGUGGCGAACGGGUGAGUAAUACAUCGGAACGCGUCCUGUAAUGGGGGAUAACCUGGCGAAAGCCAGGCUAAUACCGCAUACGUCCUGAGGGAGAAAGCGGGGGAUCGCAAGACCUCGCGUUAUAGGAGCGGCCGAUGUCGGAUUAGCUAGUUGGUGGGGUAAAGGCCUACCAAGGCGACGAUCUGUAGCGGGUCUGAGAGGACGGCCCGCCACACUGGGACUGAGACACGGCCCAGACUCCUACGGGAGGCAGCAGUGGGGAAUUUUGGACAAUGGGGGCAACCCUGAUCCAGCCAUUCCGCGUGAGUGAAGAAGGCCUUCGGGUUGUAAAGCUCUUUCGGCCGGGAAGAAAUCGUGCGGGCCAAUACCCUGUAUGGAUGACGGUACCGGAAGAAGAAGCACCGGCUAACUACGUGCCAGCAGCCGCGGUAAUACGUAGGGUGCGAGCGUUAAUCGGAAUUACUGGGCGUAAAGGGUGCGCAGGCGGUUUUGUAAGACAGGUGUGAAAUCCCCGGGCUUAACCUGGGAACUGCGCUUGUGACUGCAAGACUUGAGUGCGGCAGAGGGGGGUGGAAUUCCACGUGUAGCAGUGAAAUGCGUAGAGAUGUGGAGGAACACCGAUGGCGAAGGCAGCCCCCUGGGUCGACACUGACGCUCAUGCACGAAAGCGUGGGGAGCAAACAGGAUUAGAUACCCUGCAGUCCA